RNAcentral lists this ribosomal RNA (800 nucleotides) under Halomonas sp. RNAcentral's name for it is "bacterial SSU rRNA". It matches the Rfam family "Bacterial small subunit ribosomal RNA", at positions 52 to 850 of the family's 1533-position model. The record is from RNAcentral. Lineage: Bacteria; Pseudomonadati; Pseudomonadota; Gammaproteobacteria; Oceanospirillales; Halomonadaceae.
CACAUGCAGUCGAGCGGUAACAGAUCCAGCUUGCUGGAUGCUGACGAGCGGCGGACGGGUGAGUAAUGCAUAGGAAUCUGCCCGAUAGUGGGGGAUAACCUGGGGAAACCCAGGCUAAUACCGCAUACGUCCUACGGGAGAAAGGGGGCUCCGGCUCCCGCUAUGGGAUGAGCCUAUGUCGGAUUAGCUAGUUGGUGAGGUAACGGCUCACCAAGGCCACGAUCCGUAGCUGGUCUGAGAGGAUGAUCAGCCACAUCGGGACUGAGACACGGCCCGAACUCCUACGGGAGGCAGCAGUGGGGAAUAUUGGACAAUGGGGGCAACCCUGAUCCAGCCAUGCCGCGUGUGUGAAGAAGGCCCUCGGGUUGUAAAGCACUUUCAGCGAGGAAGAACGCCUAGCGGUUAAUACCCGCUAGGAAAGACAUCACUCGCAGAAGAAGCACCGGCUAACUCCGUGCCAGCAGCCGCGGUAAUACGGAGGGUGCAAGCGUUAAUCGGAAUUACUGGGCGUAAAGCGCGCGUAGGUGGCUUGAUAAGCCGGUUGUGAAAGCCCCGGGCUCAACCUGGGAACGGCAUCCGGAACUGUCAAGCUAGAGUGCAGGAGAGGAAGGUAGAAUUCCCGGUGUAGCGGUGAAAUGCGUAGAGAUCGGGAGGAAUACCAGUGGCGAAGGCGGCCUUCUGGACUGACACUGACACUGAGGUGCGAAAGCGUGGGUAGCAAACAGGAUUAGAUACCCUGGUAGUCCACGCCGUAAACGAUGUCGACCAGCCGUUGGGUGCCUAGCGCACUUUGUGGCGAA